Molecule: long non-coding RNA, 1061 nt
Organism: Micropterus dolomieu (smallmouth bass)
Lineage: Eukaryota; Metazoa; Chordata; Actinopteri; Centrarchiformes; Centrarchidae
Exons: 2
Source: RefSeq, a predicted model, not a curated record
CAAGAAGCUCCUGAAAACUCUGCAGAGAACACUUCCUCCGAUAACACCUUCAACUCCUAACCUCUAACAUGCACUUCCUGUGCUCUUCUUCUUCUAUCCCCUUACAAUUCUCUCGUUUUGACUGCACUUUUUGUCAACUCUUCUUUCCCCUUGGUAUUUACCCCAUUGAUGUGAUAUGUGCUAUGAGCUCUUACUAGUAUGUAUUGGUGCUCUUACUAGUAUGUAUUGUCAGUUGUAGAUCUGUAGUUGCUGCUCUUUUGAUGCUUGGAUGUUGUUCCUCAAAUGUAAGUCACUUUGGAUAAAAUGAGUAAAUGUCUUUCUCACCUUCAACAAGCCUCUCGCACUGUUUACUGACUGUUACAAACCAUUGAAAUCAUUACUGAACUGUUUGUGACGUCAGCAGAGAAGAGGUGUACUACAUCUGGAUUUCAGAAUUAAGUGAGUCCUGCAGACAUCCAGCAGCAAAGAAGAGGUUCCCCCUGAACAGCAGGAUUAGAACCCUAGUCUGGACCAGGAGGACCCAGAGCUCCCAGACAUUAAAGCGGAGUGGAGCCCCAGUCUGGACCAGGAGGACCCACCAGAGCCCCCACACUUUCAAGAGGAACGAGAGGAUCUUUGGACAGUCAGGAGGGAGAGCAGCUUCCAGGACUGUAGGAGGCUGAUGUCACGACGUUCCCAUUCACUCCUGUCCCUGUGAAGAAUGAUGAUGAUGAAGAGAAACCUCCUCACAGCUUCAUCAAAACCAAACUCAGCUGAUGGAGGACCAGAACCAGCCAGGAACUCUGAUCCAGAUAGACUGAUCUAGACAUUUACAACCUGAGACGGAAGACAAGACUGAAGACUCUGAGUUGAAUGUCAGGGAAGAGACCAGAGAACAUCAGUCAAGUUUAAAAUCAUUUAGUUGCUCAGACUGUGGGAGAAGAUUUAGUCAAAAAGGAAUAUCUGAUCAUAAACAGGAGAGAAACCUCAAUUUGCUGCAAAAGCUUCAACCAGAAGGACUUGUGGGAGAAAUGUAUGGAUAUGAAAAUUUUUUAUUUAGAUAAAGGACUGUUUUGAAUGUA